AGUGAACGCUGGCGGUAGGCCUAACACAUGCAAGUCGAACGGCAGCACAGUAAGAGCUUGCUCUUACGGGUGGCGAGUGGCGGACGGGUGAGGAAUACAUCGGACUCUACUUUUUCGUGGGGGAUAACGUAGGGAAACUUACGCUAAUACCGCAUACGACCUACGGGUGAAAGCAGGGGAUCUUCGGACCUUGCGCGAUUGAAUGCGCCGAUGUCGGAUUAGCUAGUUGGCGGGGUAAAGGCCCACCAAGGCGACGAUCCGUAGCUGGUCUGAGAGGAGGAUCAGCCACACGGGAACUGAGACACGGUCCAGACUCCUACGGGAGGCAGCAGUGGGGAAUAUUGGACAAUGGGCGCAAGCCUGAUCCAGCCAUACCGCGUGGGUGAAGAAGGCCUUCGGGUUGUAAAGCCCUUUUGUUGGGAAAGAAAAGCAGCAGGUUAAUACCCCGCUGUUCUGACGGUACCCAAAGAAUAAGCACCGGCUAACUUCGUG
This 492-nucleotide ribosomal RNA is filed under the name uncultured bacterium. RNAcentral's name for it is "partial 16S ribosomal RNA". It matches the Rfam family "Bacterial small subunit ribosomal RNA", at positions 29 to 507 of the family's 1533-position model. The record is from RNAcentral.